AAAAAGUCAUAUAAGGUGUUAGAAAGCCAUAUAUAUUGUUCAGGAUGUCAUAUAUAUUCACAGGAUGUCAUAUAUAUUGUGUAGGAUGUCAUAUAUACUCAUAAAAAGUCAUAUAAGGUGUUAGAAAGUCAUAUAUAUUAUUUAGGAUGUCAUAUAUAUUCAUAAGAAGUCAUACAAGGCAUCAAGAAGUCAUAUAUAUUAUUCAGAAUGUCAUAAAUAUACAGGAAGUUAUAUAUAUGGUUCAGGAUGUCAUAUAUAUUCACGAAAAGUCAAACCAUAUAUUAGAAAGUAAUAAUACUAUUCUUUCUUUGUUGUAUAGAGGAAAUGGUAUUUUCAUCACUGACAUUAGGGAAAGGAAAAAGCUAAGCGGCAUUUAAUGUCCAUCCUUUUUAAAUAUGCUGUGCCCCAAUAUUAUUAGGCG
This 421-nucleotide long non-coding RNA is filed under the name Elaeis guineensis (African oil palm). Its description in RNAcentral is "long non-coding RNA (EGUI_LNC033993)". Lineage: Eukaryota; Viridiplantae; Streptophyta; Magnoliopsida; Arecales; Arecaceae. The record is from RNAcentral.